RNAcentral lists this ribosomal RNA (484 nucleotides) under uncultured bacterium. RNAcentral's name for it is "partial 16S ribosomal RNA". It matches the Rfam family "Bacterial small subunit ribosomal RNA", at positions 30 to 507 of the family's 1533-position model. The record is from RNAcentral.
AUUGAACGCUGGCGGCAGGCCUAAUACAUGCAAGUCGAGCGGAUGAAGGGAGCUUGCUCCUCGAUUCAGCGGUGGCCGGGUGAGUAAUGCCUAGGAAUCUGCAUGGUAGUGGGGGAUAACGUCCGGAAACGGGCGCUAAUACCGCAUACGUCCUGAGGGAGAAAGUGGGGGUUCUUCGGACCUAACGCUAUCAGAUGAGCCUAGGUCGGAUUAGCUAGUUGGUGGGGUAAAGGCCUACCAAGGCGACGAUCCGUAACUGGUCUGAGAGGAUGACCAGUCACACUGGAACUGAGACACGGUCCAGACUCCUACGGGAGGCAGCAGUGGGGAAUCUUGGACAAUGGGCGAAAGCCUGAUGCAGCCAUGCCGCGUGAGUGAAGAAGGUCUUCGGAUUGUAAAGCACUUUAAGUUGGGAGGAAGGGCAGUAAGUUAAAACCUUACGAUAUUGACGUUACCUACAGAGUAAGCACCGGCUAACCACGUG